Molecule: ribosomal RNA, 496 nt
Filed under: uncultured bacterium
Lineage: Bacteria
Description: partial 16S ribosomal RNA
Rfam family: Bacterial small subunit ribosomal RNA
Source: RNAcentral
GAUGAACGCUGGCGGCGUGCCUAAUACAUGCAAGUCGAGCGAACAGACGAGGAGCUUGCUCCUCUGACGUUAGCGGCGGACGGGUGAGUAACACGUGGAUAACCUACCUAUAAGACUGGGAUAACUUCGGGAAACCGGAGCUAAUACCGGAUAAUAUAUUGAACCGCAUGGUUCAAUAGUGAAAGACGGUUUUGCUGUCACUUAUAGAUGGAUCCGAGCCGCAUUAGCUAGUUGGUAAGGUAACGGCUUACCAAGGCAACGAUGCGUAGCCGACCUGAGAGGGUGAUCGGCCACACUGGAACUGAGACACGGUCCAGACUCCUACGGGAGGCAGCAGUAGGGAAUCUUCCGCAAUGGGCGAAAGCUUGACGGAGCAACGCCGCGUGAGUGAUGAAGGUCUUCGGAUCGUAAAACUCUGUUAUUAGGGAAGAACAAAUGUGUAAGUAACUAUGCACGUCUGGACGGUACCUAAUCAGAAAGCCACGGCUAACUACGG